AGCGAACGCUGGCGGCAGGCCUAACACAUGCAAGUCGAACGGAUCCUUCGGGAUUAGUGGCGGACGGGUGAGUAACACGUGGGAACGUGCCCUUUGGUUCGGAACAACUCAGGGAAACUUGAGCUAAUACCGGAUGUGCCCUUCGGGGGAAAGAUUUAUCGCCAUUGGAGCGGCCCGCGUCUGAUUAGCUAGUUGGUGUGGUAACGGCCGACCAAGGCGACGAUCAGUAGCUGGUCUGAGAGGAUGAUCAGCCACACUGGGACUGAGACACGGCCCAGACUCCUACGGGAGGCAGCAGUGGGGAAUCUUGCGCAAUGGGCGAAAGCCUGACGCAGCCAUGCCGCGUGAAUGAUGAAGGUCUUAGGAUUGUAAAAUUCUUUCAGCGGGGACGAUAAUGACGGUACCCGCAGAAGAAGCUCCGGCUAACUUCGUG
RNAcentral lists this ribosomal RNA (433 nucleotides) under uncultured bacterium. Its description in RNAcentral is "partial 16S ribosomal RNA". It matches the Rfam family "Bacterial small subunit ribosomal RNA", at positions 29 to 507 of the family's 1533-position model. The record is from RNAcentral.